CGCUUUGUGGUUCAACUGAAUUUGAAGAGCUUGCUCAGAUAUGACGAUGGACAUUGCAAAGAGUGGCGAACGGGUGAGUAACACGUGGGAAACCUACCUCUUAGCAGGGGAUAACAUUUGGAAACAGAUGCUAAUACCGUAUAACAAUGACAACCGCAUGGUUGUUAUUUGAAAGAUGGUUCUGCUAUCACUAAGAGAUGGUCCCGCGGUGCAUUAGCUAGUUGGUAAGGUAAUGGCUUACCAAGGCGAUGAUGCAUAGCCGAGUUGAGAGACUGAUCGGCCACAAUGGGACUGAGACACGGCCCAUACUCCUACGGGAGGCAGCAGUAGGGAAUCUUCCACAAUGGGCGAAAGCCUGAUGGAGCAACGCCGCGUGUGUGAUGAAGGGUUUCGGCUCGUAAAACACUGUUGUAAGAGAAGAAUGACAUUGAGAGUAACUGUUCAAUGUGUGACGGUAUCUUACCAGAAAGGAACGGCUAAAUACGUGCCAGCAGCCGCGGUAAUACGUAUGUUCCAAGCGUUAUCCGGAUUUAUUGGGCGUAAAGCGAGCGCAGACGGUUAUUUAAGUCUGAAGUGAAAGCCCUCAGCUCAACUGAGGAAUUGCUUUGGAAACUGGAUGACUUGAGUGCAGUAGAGGAAAGUGGAACUCCAUGUGUAGCGGUGAAAUGCGUAGAUAUAUGGAAGAACACCAGUGGCGAAGGCGGCUUUCUGGACUGUAACUGACGUUGAGGCUCGAAAGUGUGGGUAGCAAACAGGAUUAGAUACCCUGGUAGUCCACACCGUAAACGAUGAGUGCUAGGUGUUUGAGGGUUUCCGCCCUUAAGUGCCGCAGCUAACGCAUUAAGCACUCCGCCUGGGGAGUACGACCGCAAGGUUGAAACUCAAAGGAAUUGACGGGGACCCGCACAAGCGGUGGAGCAUGUGGUUUAAUUCGAAGCAACGCGAAGAACCUUACCAGGUCUUGACAUCCCUUGACAACUCCAGAGAUGGAGCGUUCCCUUCGGGGACAAGGUGACAGGUGGUGCAUGGUUGUCGUCAGCUCGUGUCGUGAGAUGUUGGGUUAAGUCCCGCAACGAGCGCAACCCUUAUUACUAGUUGCCAGCAUUCAGUUGGGCACUCUAGUGAGACUGCCGGUGACAAACCGGAGGAAGGUGGGGAUGACGUCAAAUCAUCAUGCCCCUUAUGACCUGGGCUACACACGUGCUACAAUGGCGUAUACAACGAGUUGCCAACCCGCGAGGGUGAGCUAAUCUCUUAAAGUACGUCUCAGUUCGGAUUGUAGGCUGCAACUCGCCUACAUGAAGUCGGAAUCGCUAGUAAUCGCGGAUCAGCACGCCGCGGUGAAUACGUUCCCGGGUCUUGUACACACCGCCCGUCACACCAUGAGAGUUUGUAACACCCAAAGCCGGUGGGGU
RNAcentral lists this ribosomal RNA (1415 nucleotides) under Weissella confusa. Its description in RNAcentral is "bacterial SSU rRNA". It matches the Rfam family "Bacterial small subunit ribosomal RNA", at positions 67 to 1436 of the family's 1533-position model. Lineage: Bacteria; Bacillati; Bacillota; Bacilli; Lactobacillales; Lactobacillaceae. The record is from RNAcentral.